AGGGCUUGACAUGCCGCGUGACCGGUUUAGAGAUAGAUCGUUUACCCUUCGGGGUACAGCGGACACAGGUGGUGCAUGGUUGUCGUCAGCUCGUGUCGUGAGAUGUUGGGUUAAGUCCCGCAACGAGCGCAACCCUUGUCUUUAGUUGCCAUCAUUAAGUUGGGCACUCUAAAGAGACUGCCGAUGACAAAUCGGAGGAAGGUGGGGAUGACGUCAAAUCAUCAUGCCCUUUAUGUCCUGGGGCUACACACGUGCUACAAUGGUCGGUACAACGAGAAGCAAGUCAGCGAUGGCAAGCAAAUCUCUAAAAAGCCCGAUCCCAGUUCGGAUUGCAGGCUGCAACUCGCCUGCAUGAAGUCGGAGUUGCUAGUAAUCGCGGAUCAGAAUGCCGCGGUGAAUGCGUUCCCGGGUCUU
This 414-nucleotide ribosomal RNA is filed under the name uncultured Eubacteriales bacterium. RNAcentral's name for it is "bacterial SSU rRNA". It matches the Rfam family "Bacterial small subunit ribosomal RNA", at positions 976 to 1382 of the family's 1533-position model. The record is from RNAcentral. Lineage: Bacteria; Bacillati; Bacillota; Clostridia; Eubacteriales.